CCUACGGGAGGCAGCAGUGAGGAAUAUUGGUCAAUGGGCGCAAGCCUGAACCAGCCAAGUAGCGUGAAGGAUGACUGCCCUACGGGUUGUCAACUUCUUUUAUAAGGGAGUAACGUGAGGCACGUGUACCUUUUUGUAUGUACUUUAUGAAUAAGGAUCGGCUAAAUACGUGACCGCAGCCGCGGUAAUACGGAGGAUCCGGGCGUUAGCCGGAUUUAUUGGGGUUAAAGGGAGCGGAGAUGGGUUGGUAAGUCAGUUGUGAAAGUUUGCGGCCCAACCGUAAAAUUGCAAUUGAUAAUGGCAGGCUUGAGUACAGUUGAGGGAGGCGGAAUUCGUGGUGGAGCGGUGAAAUGCUUAGAUAUUACGAAGAACUCCGAUUGCGAAGGCAGCCUACUAAACUGCCACUGACAUUGAUGCUCGAAAGCGUGGGUAUCAAACAGGAUUAGAUACCCCAGUAGUC
This 460-nucleotide ribosomal RNA is filed under the name uncultured bacterium. RNAcentral describes it as "partial 16S ribosomal RNA". It matches the Rfam family "Bacterial small subunit ribosomal RNA", at positions 338 to 795 of the family's 1533-position model. The record is from RNAcentral.